This 75-nucleotide microRNA precursor is filed under the name Mustela putorius furo (domestic ferret). RNAcentral's name for it is "miRNA (ENSMPUG00000021180.1)". Lineage: Eukaryota; Metazoa; Chordata; Mammalia; Carnivora; Mustelidae. The record is from RNAcentral.
GCAUCUUGUGAAAAUGCAGGCUCUGAUUCAGUAGCUCUGGAGUGGGGACUGAGAUUCUGCAUUUUUAACAAGCUC